This 204-nucleotide ribosomal RNA is filed under the name uncultured bacterium. Its description in RNAcentral is "partial 16S ribosomal RNA". It matches the Rfam family "Bacterial small subunit ribosomal RNA", at positions 1298 to 1500 of the family's 1533-position model. The record is from RNAcentral.
UUGUAGUCUGCAACCCGACUACAUGAAGCUGGAAUCGCUAGUAAUCGCGGAUCAGAAUGCCGCGGUGAAUACGUUCCCGGGUCUUGUACACACCGCCCGUCACACCAUGGGAGUCGGAAAUGCCCGAAGUCUGUGACCCAACCUUAGGGGAGGGAGCAGCCGAAGGCAGGUCGGAUGACUGGGGUGAAGUCGUAACAAGGUAUC